RNAcentral lists this ribosomal RNA (784 nucleotides) under uncultured bacterium. Its description in RNAcentral is "bacterial SSU rRNA". It matches the Rfam family "Bacterial small subunit ribosomal RNA", at positions 8 to 786 of the family's 1533-position model. The record is from RNAcentral.
AGAGUUUGAUCCUGGCUCAGAUUGAACGCUGGCGGCAGGCCUAACACAUGCAAGUCGAGCGGUAGAGAGAAGCUUGCUUUUCUUGAGAGCGGCGGACGGGUGAGUAAUGCCUAGGAAUCUGCCUGGUAGUGGGGGAUAACGUUCGGAAACGGACGCUAAUACCGCAUACGUCCUACGGGAGAAAGCAGGGGACCUUCGGGCCUUGCGCUAUCAGAUGAGCCUAGGUCGGAUUAGCUAGUUGGUGAGGUAAUGGCUCACCAAGGCGACGAUCCGUAACUGGUCUGAGAGGAUGAUCAGUCACACUGGAACUGAGACACGGUCCAGACUCCUACGGGAGGCAGCAGUGGGGAAUAUUGGACAAUGGGCGAAAGCCUGAUCCAGCCAUGCCGCGUGUGUGAAGAAGGUCUUCGGAUUGUAAAGCACUUUAAGUUGGGAGGAAGGGCAGUAAAUUAAUACUUUGCUGUUUUGACGUUACCGACAGAAUAAGCACCGGCUAACUCUGUGCCAGCAACCGCGGUAAUACAGAGGGUGCAAGCGUUAAUCGGAAUUACUGGGCGUAAAGCGCGCGUAGGUGGUUUGUUAAGUUGGAUGUGAUAUCCCCGGGCUCAACCUGGGCACUGCAUUCAAAACUGACUGACUAGAGUAUGGUAGAGGGUGGCGGACUUUUCUGUGUAGCGCCGAAUGCUUAGAUAUAAGAAAGGACACAAGUGGCGAUCGCGACCACCUGGACUAAUACUGAACCUGAGGUGCGAAAGCUGUGAGGAGCUAAACGGGAUUAGAUACC